GACGAACGCUGGCGGCGCGCCUAACACAUGCAAGUCGAACGAGCGAGAGAGAGCUUGCUUUCUCAAGCGAGUGGCGAACGGGUGAGUAACGCGUGAGGAACCUGCCUCAAAGAGGGGGACAACAGUUGGAAACGACUGCUAAUACCGCAUAAGCCCACAGCUCGGCAUCGAGCAGAGGGAAAAGGAGUGAUCCGCUUUGAGAUGGCCUCGCGUCCGAUUAGGUAGUUGGUGAGAUAACAGCCCACCAAGCCGACGAUCGGUAGCCGGACUGAGAGGUUGAUCGGCCACAUUGGGACUGAGACACGGCCCAG
RNAcentral lists this ribosomal RNA (311 nucleotides) under uncultured bacterium. RNAcentral describes it as "bacterial SSU rRNA". It matches the Rfam family "Bacterial small subunit ribosomal RNA", at positions 28 to 334 of the family's 1533-position model. The record is from RNAcentral.